Molecule: transfer RNA, 24 nt
Filed under: Afurcagobius tamarensis (Tamar River goby)
Lineage: Eukaryota; Metazoa; Chordata; Actinopteri; Gobiiformes; Gobiidae
Description: partial tRNA-Phe
Source: RNAcentral
GGGCCCUAGAAAGCCUCGUAAGCA